This 219-nucleotide unclassified non-coding RNA is filed under the name uncultured bacterium. RNAcentral describes it as "contains 16S-23S intergenic spacer region". The record is from RNAcentral.
UCCGGCUUAUCACCGGCAGUCCCACUAGAGUGCCCAACUGAAUGAUGGCAACUAAUGGCAAGGGUUGCGCUCGUUGCGGGACUUAACCCAACAUCUCACGACACGAGCUGACGACAGCCAUGCAGCACCUGUGGUGCACCCUCGAAGGUCACACGUUUCCGUGCGCUUGCAGCACCAUGUCAAGCCCAGGUAAGGUGGGGAUGACGUGUCGUUACCUUA